Long non-coding RNA from Cydia splendana, 938 nucleotides. RefSeq lists it as uncharacterized. Lineage: Eukaryota; Metazoa; Arthropoda; Insecta; Lepidoptera; Tortricidae. The transcript is spliced from 3 exons. The record is from RefSeq and is a predicted model, not a curated record.
CACCAAUCACAACUGACGAACUUAUUAUUCUGCAGUUCUAUCAAAUUUCCCGUGAAAUGCAAUUUCGCGAACGUUCUUACGGUGAUAGACGGUUUGGCGCAACCGAAUCAUAAUAAUCAUACCCGCUUUUCUUUAUAAAGCCUAGCAUACGGUCACGCCGUAGAAUGUUGUAAAUGCAUGAACGAUUGUGCGUCUUUACAUUACAUGAAUCCUGGCAAGGUCGCCAUGUGAGGGCGUUUACUUUCUGUUUUUUUAAAUUGUAUAAACUAAAGCAUUAUUGUUAGGAUUAACGCUAGUAGAUAGGUAAUCCUAUUUCAUCACUGCCCUAGUAAUAAAUUAUAUCUAGAGGCGCUUCCUUCACUGACUGAAUGUUUACAUUACCUUUCUAGUAUUUAUUGACAUUCCCAUAAUAUACCCCGAAAUAAGGUAUGAUAGAUCAAAAUCUGAUAGACAUUCACACUAUGCCUAAAAUUAUAAGCCAUCUACUUAAGAUAGUUUUGUCUAGAUUAGAAUUAUAUUGAUGACUAUAAAGAUUCAAGAAAAUUGACUUUAGUCUUUAGACUAGUAAAUUAAUUUACAGGAUUACUUGCCUUAAAUUUGGCUGUUAUGAAAAUUUACAUAUAAAAUGUUUUAUCUGAUCGAGGAUCUUUGAAUGUGGACUGUGAAAGGCAGAGUAGUAAAUUGUAUACAUUUUUCAGUGAGAUUUCGUAGAUUGGAGAAUCAAGACUCCAUUUUAAGUAUAUUUAUUGUGACGAGGCAGGUACUGCUGUUGCCAUAAGAGUGUGUCAAAUGUACAGCUCAAGUUGGAACUUCCCCUUUAUUGCCAAAAACCUAUUAAUAAUUUGCUCCGUACUUUCUGGUCAGCUAAUGGUGAUAGAGUACAGUCAACUGUAAGAAUAUGGGUGCACAAAUCAUUUCAAAAAUAUGUCCCAUAGCUC